Molecule: long non-coding RNA, 435 nt
Filed under: Homo sapiens (human)
Lineage: Eukaryota; Metazoa; Chordata; Mammalia; Primates; Hominidae
Description: non-protein coding DLGAP1-AS3:7
Source: RNAcentral
AGAUCCUCUUUUCAUUUCCUAGAAGCAAGAAGGGAGCCAGAAGCCCAGUUCUCAGGAGAUGAGGCUACCAGGAGAGAACAGAGAAGAAAAGACACUCUGAAAAAGGAAAAGAUGAGAGUUCUUAUGGAAAAAUGUGCCUUGGGAAAAAUUACAAUACUACAGCAAGGAGCCAUGAGACAAGCUCAGAGUGUGAGAUGCACAGUUUUUCCAGAGUUCCAACACCUGGAGCAGAAUUAUCACUGUCCAGAUGAUGACCAAAACAAGAAUAAUCCAGCACUGUAAAGGAAAUUUUCAAGAUGUGCCUGGGUGACUAUGCUGGCCAAUGGAACAUAACUUGAAACGGCAUGUGUGAUUUCUGGAAAACAUCUCUAAAGGACAGGGUCUUGCUGUAUCACCCAAGGUGGAGUGCAUUGGCAUAAUCAUGGCUCACUGCAG